GAAAAAAUGUCUCAUUAGCACAAAAAAACAUUCUAUAGACAAAAUGCUUAAACCGUAACAGUAGUCGUUUGUGGCAGCAGUUGCGCUAAUCAGCAAAUGGCUGGCAUUUCUUUUAGAGUCUGCUGAUAAUUGGCAGACGGAAUCAUGCAUGCGCCUUAUGUAAAUCACAUUCAAUAAGCAAAAUCCAUACAGAACGUCGCCUCUAGUCUCUAAUGGCAACCUCCAAUGUCCACAACAUUGCCCAGAUGCAUGUCCUGGUUACCCUAGCACUCUCAGAGCAAACUAGUACAGAGACGCCAGAAUAAAAUGUCCAGCAUUCUAUGCCAAACACAAGUAAUCCAGCUAGAUUCAGCAUUGGCGCGGAUUAUUCAUACGCAGAAAAAGAGCAUAUCACAAGGCAAGGGACUGGUUUAUACACUUUAGUAAGGGAUCAGCAUUGACAAAAUAAGUUAAUCCAACUAGAAAAUUAUGUAUCAAAUAUAUAUUAAAAAAAAAUCCAUCAGAGUUUGUGCAUCCCCAAAUUUACAAAAGACCUACUUUACCUCUGGUCAUAAAAGCAAGGGAGAAAACUUUAUGGGGGAAAAAUUUUGCAACAGCAUUUCGUAAAAACAUUAAUUUUUGGAUGGUAAUGUUGCUCAAGGACCACAGCAGAUGAGGGUCUUCAGUCACACCACUCCUGAGGGAAGGCGGAGAACAAGCUGUCCUCCAAACACA
Molecule: unclassified non-coding RNA, 714 nt
Filed under: Hevea brasiliensis (rubber tree)
Lineage: Eukaryota; Viridiplantae; Streptophyta; Magnoliopsida; Malpighiales; Euphorbiaceae
Source: RNAcentral